AGCAGCCGCGGUAAUUCCAGCUCCAAUAGCGUAUAUUAAAGUUGUUGCAGUUAAAAAGCUCGUAGUUGAAUUUCGGAAUUUGUCCGUUGGUCGGGCUUCAUUGUCCGUACUGAUGUGAUGGGUUCUUACCUUCUGAAUAACCAGCAUGCCAUUAAUUUGGUGUGUUGGGGAAGCAGGACUAUUACCUUGAAAAAUUAGAGUGCUCAAAGCAGGCUAGUGCCUGAAUACAUUAGCAUGGAAUAAUAAAAUAGGACGGCAUGGUUCUAUUUUGUUGGUUUCUAGGAUCACCGUAAUGAUUAAUAGGGAUAGUUGGGGGCAUUAGUAUUCAAUUGUCAGAGGUGAAAUUCUUGGAUUUAUUGAAGACUAACUUCUGCGAAAGCAUUUGCCAAGGAUGUUUUCAUUAAUCAAGAACGAAAGUUAGGGGAUCGAAGACGAUCAGAUACCGUCGUAGUCUUAACCAUAAACUAUGCCGACUAGGGAUCGGACGAUGUUAAUUUAUAAUGACUCGUUCGGCGUACCG
This 520-nucleotide ribosomal RNA is filed under the name uncultured Glomeromycotina. RNAcentral describes it as "SSU rRNA". It matches the Rfam family "Eukaryotic small subunit ribosomal RNA", at positions 569 to 1088 of the family's 1831-position model. The record is from RNAcentral. Lineage: Eukaryota; Fungi; Glomeromycota.